RNAcentral lists this ribosomal RNA (451 nucleotides) under uncultured bacterium. RNAcentral's name for it is "partial 16S ribosomal RNA". It matches the Rfam family "Bacterial small subunit ribosomal RNA", at positions 354 to 796 of the family's 1533-position model. The record is from RNAcentral.
GUGGGGAAUAUUGGACAAUGGGCGAAAGCCUGAUCCAGCCAUGCCGCGUGUGUGAAGAAGGCCUUUUGGUUGUAAAGCACUUUAAGCGAGGAGGAGGCUACCGAGAUUAAUACUCUUGGAUAGUGGACGUUACUCGCAGAAUAAGCACCGGCUAACUCUGUGCCAGCAGCCGCGGUAAUACAGAGGGUGCAAGCGUUAAUCGGAUUUACUGGGCGUAAAGCGCGCGUAGGUGGCCAAUUAAGUCAAAUGUGAAAUCCCCGAGCUUAACUUGGGAAUUGCAUUCGAUACUGGUUGGCUAGAGUAUGGGAGAGGAUGGUAGAAUUCCAGGUGUAGCGGUGAAAUGCGUAGAGAUCUGGAGGAAUACCGAUGGCGAAGGCAGCCAUCUGGCCUAAUACUGACACUGAGGUGCGAAAGCAUGGGGAGCAAACAGGAUUAGAAACCCCGGUAGUCC